Molecule: non-coding RNA, 264 nt
Organism: Leptonychotes weddellii (Weddell seal)
Lineage: Eukaryota; Metazoa; Chordata; Mammalia; Carnivora; Phocidae
Source: RefSeq, a predicted model, not a curated record
GUUUGAGAACUUGUCAGGGCUCUUUCUGGAAUGCGUGUUACACAGCCUGGUUUCCACUCCUGCAAGAUGGAAGAGAAACCAAAUGGACUGCUAAACAUGGAUAACAGUCAUCCCAUAACAUGGAAGUCCCCUUUGUCCCAGACAUCUGUUUAAAUGAGAAGCAAUGGAAACCUGACUUAAGGACCCUGGGGAUAUGCUGUCCAGCAGAGUCCGGUCUUAUGAGAAGGAAUCAAGAACAUAUUACAUGAGAAAACCAGGUUCUAC